ACAGGUGGGCACCACCGGUCAGCGACCGUUGGCUGCGGGCGGCGGCUGGCUGGGCUGGCUGGGCCGGCGAGCGGCAGCGAGCGCGUGGGGUUGACUGGGCCGGUUCGGCCCAGGUUGGCCGGGCCGGUCCAUUUUCUUUUUUUUUGUUCUUUUCUUUUCUCUUUUUCUUUUUCAGUUUUUCCUUUAUAACAAUUUAUUUUGAACUCCAAAUGGACUCAAAUAAAUUCCAGAAAAUUUGUAAAAUCAUAUCCUUUAAUGCCAUAGCAUCUGGGACUUGAUUUCUUCCAAAAGUAAAUUAUUAAAAACAGUUUUGCUUAUAUAAUUGCCUCUAGUGCAAUAAUAUUUAGAAACAAAAUAGUUUUUCAAUUCCAAAAUAAAUCCCAAAAAUUAUGGGGUAGCUCAUCUUAUUGCAUUAAACCCCUUUCUAUAUUUUUCAACCCCAUGGGUUGAAAAUUCCAAAAAGAUGCAAAGGGGAAAUUUAAAAAGGCGAAAAGGCUUAAUAAAAGGUUUUAAAAUUUAAAUCUUUGGUUUAAAGGUGCUCAAGUGUAUAAAUGGUAUGAUGCUCAUGAGUGCAGAUGCAUGAGGCAAAGUUUGGGGAAAAUUGAGAUGUUAC
Molecule: long non-coding RNA, 613 nt
Filed under: Brachypodium distachyon (stiff brome)
Lineage: Eukaryota; Viridiplantae; Streptophyta; Magnoliopsida; Poales; Poaceae
Description: long non-coding RNA (BDIS_LNC004973)
Source: RNAcentral